This 253-nucleotide ribosomal RNA is filed under the name uncultured bacterium. RNAcentral describes it as "partial 16S ribosomal RNA". It matches the Rfam family "Bacterial small subunit ribosomal RNA", at positions 524 to 776 of the family's 1533-position model. The record is from RNAcentral.
UACGUAGGGGGCAAGCGUUGUCCGGAAUCAUUGGGCGUAAAGAGCGUGUAGGCGGCCCGGUAAGUCCGUUGUGAAAGUCCAGGGCUCAACCCUGGAAUGCCGAUGGAUACUGCCGGGCUAGAGUUCGGAAGAGGCGAGUGGAAUUCCUGGUGUAGCGGUGGAAUGCGCAGAUAUCAGGAAGAACACCUAUGGCGAAGGCAGCUCUCUGGGACGGUACUGACGCUGAGACGCGAAAGCGUGGGGAGCGAACAGG